Molecule: ribosomal RNA, 440 nt
Filed under: uncultured bacterium
Lineage: Bacteria
Description: partial 16S ribosomal RNA
Rfam family: Bacterial small subunit ribosomal RNA
Source: RNAcentral
CCUACGGGUGGCAGCAGUGGGGAAUAUUGCACAAUGGGGGAAACCCUGAUGCAGCGACGCCGCGUGAGUGAAGAAGUAUCUCGGUAUGUAAAGCUCUAUCAGCAGGGAAGAAAAUGACGGUACCUGAUUAAGAAGCCCCGGCUAACUACGUGCCAGCAGCCGCGGUAAUACGGAGGGGGCAAGCGUUAUCCGGAUUUACUGGGUGUAAAGGGAGCGUAGACGGGAGCACAAGUCUGGAGUGAAAUGCCGGGGCUUAACCCCGGAACUGCUGUUGAAACUGUGCAGCUAGAGUGCAGGAGAGGUAAGUGGAAUGCCUGGUGUAGCGGUGAAAUGCGUAGAUAUUAGGAAGAACACCAGUGGCGAAGGCGGCUUACUGGACUGUAACUGACGUUGAGGCUCGAAAGCGUGGGGAGCGAACAGGAUUAGAUACCCGGGUAGUC